This 226-nucleotide ribosomal RNA is filed under the name uncultured bacterium. RNAcentral describes it as "partial 16S ribosomal RNA". It matches the Rfam family "Bacterial small subunit ribosomal RNA", at positions 524 to 751 of the family's 1533-position model. The record is from RNAcentral.
UACGAAGGGGGCUAGCGUUGCUCGGAAUUACUGGGCGUAAAGCGCACGUAGGCGGUCUUUAAGUCGGGGUGAAAUCCUGGAGCUCAACUCCAGAACUGCCUUCGAUACUGGAAGACUUGAGUCCGGGAGAGGUGAGUGGAACUGCGAGUGUAGAGGUGAAAUUCGUAGAUAUUCGCAAGACACCAGUGGCGAAGGCGGACUCACUGGCCCGGUACUGACGCUGAGG